This is a long non-coding RNA of Zonotrichia leucophrys gambelii, 652 nucleotides long. RefSeq lists it as uncharacterized. The transcript is spliced from 6 exons. The record is from RefSeq and is a predicted model, not a curated record. Lineage: Eukaryota; Metazoa; Chordata; Aves; Passeriformes; Passerellidae.
CCUUGAGGAAGUAGGGGGGGGCCUCUUAUCUUCCUUCUCCUCCGUCCCUCCCUCUCUCCCUUCUUUCUUCUUGAGUACAAAUUACCAUGUGGAAAUGGAGGUAAGCCACCAUCUGGAAAUGAAAGGAAAGAACCUUACCUCACUCUUCCCUUCUCAACAAGUAUGAAGAGCCAUUUGGGAAUAAAAAAGCCACUUGGAAAUGGGACGUAGCGCCUGGCUUCGCCUCGCCUUGCCAUUUUGGAGAGGAAGUGUAGAACAUUGCCCUGCUUCUCUCCUCAACUGCCAGGAGCCAUUAGGAAAUGGAAGGUAUGAAGAGGCACGUAGUAGUGGAAGUGAUGAAGAGGCAUUUGGGAAUGGAAGAGCUUCUUCCUUUCAAGAAAGGGAAUGAAAUCUUGAAGCCAGAGGACAGAGAUGAACAAACACUCCAAAAAGGAGAUAUGGUCAAUCAAAAAUGAAAUUGAAAAAUCCCAAAAAUAUGAAAUGGAGUGACUGCAACCAAUUGUACUAAGAUGAAAUGUAGUACAGGGAAAAUGACCAAAACUUGCCCAAAUUAUUCCCUUUGAAAUCCCUAAAAUCAGGAAAGAAAGGGAAACAAAGAGACAGAAGAGAAAGAGAAGAAUUGAAAUUGCAAAACAAAAAAAAAAAAAAUAAA